UGGGGAAUAUUGCGCAAUGGGGGGAACCCUGACGCAGCCAUGCGCGUGAAUGAAGAAGGCCUUCGGGUUGUAAAGUUCUUUCGGUAUUGAGGAAGGUUGAUGUGUUAAUAGCACAUCAAAUUGACGUUAAAUACAGAAGAAGCACCGGCUAACUCCGUGCCAGCAGCCGCGGUAAUACGGAGGGUGCGAGCGUUAAUCGGAAUAACUGGGCGUAAAGGGCAAGCAGGCGGUUAUUUAAGUGAGGUGUAAAAGCCCCGGGCUUAACCUGGGAAUUGCAUUUCAGACUGGGUAACUAGAGUACUUUAGGGAGGGGUAGAAUUCCACGUGUAGCGGUGAAAUGCGUAGAGAUGUGGAGGAAUACCGAAGGCGAAAGGCAGCCCCUUGGGAAUGUACUGACGCUCAUGUGCGAAAGGGGGGGGAGCAAACAGGAUUAGAUACCCUGGUAGUCCACGCUGUAAACGCUGUCGAUUUGGGGGUUGGGGUUUAACUCUGGCGCCCGUAGCUAACGUGAUAAAUCGACCGCCUGGGGAGUACGGCCGCAAGUUA
Molecule: ribosomal RNA, 546 nt
Filed under: uncultured bacterium
Lineage: Bacteria
Description: bacterial SSU rRNA
Rfam family: Bacterial small subunit ribosomal RNA
Source: RNAcentral